RNAcentral lists this long non-coding RNA (310 nucleotides) under Mytilus galloprovincialis (Mediterranean mussel). Lineage: Eukaryota; Metazoa; Mollusca; Bivalvia; Mytilida; Mytilidae. The record is from RNAcentral.
AGCCUUUUGAAAACCUUCAAGGAAACCAACUAAAACUGGACUACUUAGUACAUUUGAACUAGUAUAAAAAAAAUAUUUCACUUCUUGCCACAGGAAACUUGGAUGCAAUGUUUUUAUCUUCUUAUUGUUGUAGGUUUUUCAUUAGUUAUUUUAUAAACAUAAUAUAACUUAUCAGUAAUAGCAUUGGGUACUUGAUUACAUGUAUGGGAAGUUAAGUCGCCAUCUGUGUUUAAGGUUCACAGAUACUAUACCUUCCAUUUAGGUAUAGUAACGUCCCCGCCAUACAUAUCAGUAUCUGCUAUUACUGGUA